CGCUGGCGGCGUGCCUAACACAUGCAAGUCGAACGGGGAUUUGUUUCGGCAGAAUCCUAGUGGCGAACGGGUGAGUAACGCGUAGGCAACCUGCCCUCCGGCCGGGGACAACACUCCGAAAGGGGUGCUAAUACCGGAUACGAAGUCUGUGCCGCAUGGUACGGAUUUGAAAGAUGGCCUCUAUUUAUAAGCUAUCGCCGGGGGAUGGGCCUGCGUCCGAUUAGCUGGUUGGUGGGUAACGGCCUACCAAGGCGACGAUCGGUAGCCGGUCUGAGAGGAUGAACGGCCACAUUGGGACUGAGACACGGCCCAGACUCCUACGGGAGGCAGCAGUGGGGAAUCUUCCGCAAUGGGCGCAAGCCUGACGGAGCAACGCCGCCGUGAGUGAGGAAGUUCUUCGGAACGUAAAGCUCUGUUGUUCCUGACGAACCUCCCCUUUAUCAACAACGGAGGGGACUGACGGUAGGGAACGAGGAAGCCACGGCUAACUACGUGCCAGCCGCCGC
Molecule: ribosomal RNA, 506 nt
Filed under: uncultured bacterium
Lineage: Bacteria
Description: bacterial SSU rRNA
Rfam family: Bacterial small subunit ribosomal RNA
Source: RNAcentral